CGGGGUGAGUAACGCGUGGAUAACCUGCCUCACACUGGGGGAUAACAGUUAGAAAUGACUGCUAAUACCGCAUAAGCGCACAGUACCGCAUGGUACGGUGUGAAAAACUCCGGUGGUGUGAGAUGGAUCCGCGUCUGAUUAGCCAGUUGGCGGGGUAACGGCCCACCAAAGCGACGAUCAGUAGCCGGCCUGAGAGGGUGAACGGCCACAUUGGGACUGAGACACGGCCCAA
RNAcentral lists this ribosomal RNA (232 nucleotides) under uncultured bacterium. RNAcentral's name for it is "partial 16S ribosomal RNA". It matches the Rfam family "Bacterial small subunit ribosomal RNA", at positions 104 to 334 of the family's 1533-position model. The record is from RNAcentral.